Molecule: unclassified non-coding RNA, 1208 nt
Filed under: Athalia rosae (coleseed sawfly)
Lineage: Eukaryota; Metazoa; Arthropoda; Insecta; Hymenoptera; Athaliidae
Description: misc RNA ENSAEAG00005012993.1
Source: RNAcentral
AGCGGUGCCCCGUGUGUAUACCAUUCAUCCAACCAAAGGAGACGAGCGUCUAAUGAGGCAUUUUUCUCGAAUUGUUUUCUUGAGACUGUAGCUUGUUCGAAAAACUUAAACUCUUUACCCUUGCGCUAUAUAGCGGAGGUCUGCAGGUCAGGAGAUUAUGCACAUAGGAAUCGGGAAAAAAUCGAAGUGCAUGUAAUAAAGUAUGAAAUUAAUGUCGCAAAACCUGCCCCCCAUUCCACCCUGUUCUAAUAUAGGUGGUUGAAAUAUAAAGCACGAGAUCGCGUCGGUGGCGACGGACGCAACGUCGGCGAAUUCCUCGAUCGUCGGCUGUGGUGGCGAACUCAGCAGCUGCGCUUUCCCCGAGCCUUUCCGAAAGUACGACGACGAGACUCUCGACCUCGAGACACGAUAUCCACCGCCGCCGACGUCGACGACGACGACGACGACGAGUCGUCGUUUUCCACGUCCGGAAGGAUAGACCUUAAAGCAAACCGCGCGACGUCGAUGUCGGUCAGGACGUAUAUAUACAUAUACCGCCUAGCUAUAAUGCUGGGUAAACGCAAUAUUUGUACACUGCAGAAUUUUUUUACCUUCCGACCGAUUACGCGUACGAUUUUUGCGCGCUCAACCUGCAGUCGCCAUUUUGAUGGGGAUCGGUCGCCUUCGACUCAUCGCUGCAGUCACGUUUAAAAUCUGAUGUAAGAAUCGGCUUCGUUUUCGAUAACUAUAGACGAUUAUAAAUUAUCAUGCAAUUGCAAAUAUAUAUAUAUAUAGGUACAGAUAUCUAUAAUUAUAUGAUUCAAGUGAAAAACGAAAAGUGUGUUGACCGCAAUGUUAUUUUCCAUAUUGUUUCUUUUCAAUCGAAAUAAUGAUUCGCGAACGUGAUAUAUGAUACACACGCAUAGAUAUUAACAUUCGUGGACAAUAAAAAAGACGUCGGGGAUUUUCCGCAAAAAUAAGGUGGCAAUAUAUGAGACAGUUGGAAAACGUCGAAACUACCGCCAUCGGUACAUGGAGAACUUUUCAUCAUAUCUAGAAUUGAGAUCUACACAGCCUCUAGAUUUAUCUCUCUAUUUUCUCCCGCAGCAUAUUAUAUACACGUACAACGUAUACGUUCGCAUGAUAUUAUACAUUCCUAUACAUACGUAUGCGCGAGAUUUCACACGCCGAACCAAAUUUUAAAUUAUAUUAUACAUAUGUGUGCUACA